Molecule: ribosomal RNA, 425 nt
Filed under: uncultured bacterium
Lineage: Bacteria
Description: partial 16S ribosomal RNA
Rfam family: Bacterial small subunit ribosomal RNA
Source: RNAcentral
GUGGGGAAUAUUGGACAAUGGGCGCAAGCCUGAUCCAGCAAUGCCGCGUGAGUGAUGAAGGCCUUAGGGUUGUAAAGCUCUUUCACCGGGGAAGAUAAUGACGGUACCCGGAGAAGAAGCCCCGGCUAACUCCGUGCCAGCAGCCGCGGUAAUACGGAGGGGGCUAGCGUUGUUCGGAAUUACUGGGCGUAAAGCGCGCGUAGGCGGCUUGACAAGUUGGGGGUGAAAGCCCGGAGCUCAACUUCGGAAUUGCCUUCAAGACUGUCUCGCUCGAGGCAGGGAGAGGAGAGCGGAAUACCCAGUGUAGAGGUGAAAUUCGUAGAUAUUGGGUGGAACACCGGUGGCGAAGGCGGCUCUCUGGCCCUGAUCUGACGCUAAGGCGCGAAAGCGUGGGGAGCAAACAGGAUUAGAUACCCCGGUAGUCC